UAAUACGUAGGGUGCAAGCGUUAAUCGGAAUUACUGGGCGUAAAGCGUGCGCAGGCGGUUAGGAAAGAUUGAUGUGAAAUCCCUGGGCUCAACCUAGGAAUGGCAUUGAUGACUACCUGACUGGAGUACGGUAGAGGGGAGUGGAAUUCCGCGUGUAGCAGUGAAAUGCGUAGAUAUGCGGAGGAACACCGAUGGCGAAGGCAACUCCCUGGACCUGUACUGACGCUCAUGCACGAAAGCGUGGGGAGCAAACAGG
RNAcentral lists this ribosomal RNA (256 nucleotides) under uncultured archaeon. Its description in RNAcentral is "partial 16S ribosomal RNA". It matches the Rfam family "Bacterial small subunit ribosomal RNA", at positions 521 to 776 of the family's 1533-position model. The record is from RNAcentral.